Molecule: ribosomal RNA, 252 nt
Filed under: uncultured bacterium
Lineage: Bacteria
Description: partial 16S ribosomal RNA
Rfam family: Bacterial small subunit ribosomal RNA
Source: RNAcentral
UACGAAGGGGGCUAGCGUUAUCCGGAAUUAUUGGGCGUAAAGCGCGCGCAGGCGGUUUCUUAAGUCUGAUGUGAAAGCCCACGGCUCAACCGUGGAGGGUCAUUGGAAACUGGGAACUUGAGUGCAGAAGAGAAAAGCGGAAUUCCACGUGUAGCGGAUGAAUGCGUAGAGAUGUGGAGGAACACCAGUGGCGAAGGCGGCUUUUUGGUCUGUAACUGACGCUGAGGCGCGAAAGCGUGGGGAGCAAACAGG